RNAcentral lists this transfer RNA (72 nucleotides) under Theobroma cacao (cacao). It matches the Rfam family "tRNA". Rfam says of the family: Transfer RNA (tRNA) molecules are approximately 80 nucleotides in length. Their secondary structure includes four short double-helical elements and three loops (D, anti-codon, and T loops). Lineage: Eukaryota; Viridiplantae; Streptophyta; Magnoliopsida; Malvales; Malvaceae. The record is from Rfam by way of RNAcentral.
GGUUCAAUGGUGUAGUGGUUCAGCACUCUGGACUUCUAAUCCAGCGACCUGGGUUUGACUCCGGUGGGACCU